This is an RNA transcript of Pogonomyrmex barbatus (red harvester ant), 3028 nucleotides long. RefSeq lists it as uncharacterized. The record is from RefSeq and is a predicted model, not a curated record. Lineage: Eukaryota; Metazoa; Arthropoda; Insecta; Hymenoptera; Formicidae.
UGUAGAAACGGGCGGAUGUGUGUAGAAACUGUCUUUCCGUUCCGAGUCUAAGAACGCGAUAUAGACAAGUGAUUGCGCGAGGAAGAUCAUAUCGAUGCGUGAUAAUAAUUAAUUUGCCCGUAUUAUUUUUCAAGUAAAAAUCGCUCGCGAAGCGCUCGAAGCGCGUUUUCGAAAGAAAUACCACGUCGAUUUUCGAAAGCUCGAGAGAUUCACGUGUUCAAGUUCGAUUUCCCGUCUGCAGUUAUGCGCGGACGAGUAGAGUUCGUCGUAUAAAUAAAUUUCAGUCACGAAUUUUAUUUAACGUUCGCGCGACACUAUGUGAUAAAUGAAAGUGCUCGUGCGACACACACACACACACACACACACACACAGUGAGUGCGGACUAGAAGUUAAAUGUGUAUAAUCACGCAUGCGACGUGGAUAAACGAAACGGAAGGAAGGAAGGAAGGAAGGAAGGCAGGAAGGGAGGAAAGUCGAAAGCGUACACGGAGUAGCGCGCAUUGCGAACUUAAUUGCGAAUCGAAUGAGUUUUUCCUUACAUAUAUGCACCCAGUCCACGUAACUAUGCGUUUGCGUCUUCAAACGUAGUUGCGCGUCGAUCGAGGCUUUUAUUUAAAAACGCAGGUUCGCAGGACAUUGUAAUUAUGAAACAAACGGUGCUCGUUAUCGCGUGCUUUUUGGGCUUUGUCUUAGCAGGAAGUCCUAGGUUACCUCGAACAUCCGCUGAUCAGCGUGGCACGCGUAGUGCAAGCCAGAAUAGUACCGGCGCGACGUUGCAGUCGUCUUCUCGCAAUUUGCAGCGAAAUAGGGAGCAAUACCUUUUCAAUGUCUUCGAGGUGAUAGUAUCAACUUUGGAAUCAAAAUUGCAACGAAUCGAGAAUUUAGAUAAAGCGGUGGAGCAUUUAAUGAGAAGAGUAGAGGCUUUAGAUUCACGCGUAAAUGAUAACAUUGACAAGACAGAUGCGGUCAUCACUAAACUAAGGACACUAGAUUUGAAGCUUUUCAAUGCGUAUCCUAUUAUGUCUACGGAAACUGUAACGAGGAUUACCGAAAGUAAGAGCGGAAGUAGUACGGAAGAUACCCCGUUGAUACGCGUGAUUCAUCACGAUAGAAACGAUCAGGGUCCGGAGACCCUCGGCGAAAAAUUGAUUUCCCUAGAUCAGAAAGUUUCCGACAUCGAUCAUAAGCUUGUCAAUCUUAAGAAUCAGCUCGACAACAAUUUCUUGCAAAACGACGAUAUAAAUGCCGAAGCGAGCGAGAAGAAACCCGUCAGUAUGAGCGUCAUCGAGAUCACCAAGGCUAUGAGUAACGAGGUGAUGAACCAUAUGACACUCGAGAUCGAGAAUCUUAAGCAAGCGACUGGUAGCAUGGAUCGAAAGUUACAGUUCCAUAUGAAUCUGGUGUCGGAUAAUCUUGGAGCGGUGUACAAUAUGAUCAGCGACGUGCACGAGGCUAUUGUCGAGAAAAAUAACGAGAACAAUCGGCAAAAUCGUCUUAAUUUGACAACGACCGAAGCCCCGACGAAACAAAGUAAAAUCGACCGUCUCGUCGAGCAAAUGUAUCCGAUGCUUACCGUCUCUGAGAAGAUGGAUCAAGUUUGGAACGUAGUGAUGGGGACCAAGAGCUCAGUGGACGAUCUACUGCCAAAAUCAGACGAGUUACUCACUCAAACGCAGAGGCAGGAGAGAGCGAUUAGCGAAAUUCACGCCGAUCUGAGAUCGAAAACGAAUAAGAUUAUAGAAAACCUGGAGGGUGUCGAAAGCCGCUUGAGGAAGCAAGAGGAUGACGUGGCCACUUUAGCGCAACGCCCGAUUCCGGCAGAAUUACUAUUGGAUCCAACAAUCGAUCGGCUCGUUGAAUAUGAUCCAAGCAGAUACGUGAGCGUAAGUGAAGAUUUUGUAACGGAGAUGCCCACGUCUACGCUACCAACCACCUCACCACCCUUGUCAACUACAACAUCAAUAUCAUCCGUUGCUUCACCCUCGAACAAUCCUACCAGUUCCACGACACCCAUGACCGCAACAUCUUCGAGUACCGCGAGACCGAGUGGCAGAAAUCGGGGUGUGAUAUUCCCGAGUGUCAAGAACAAACCGAGUUUAGCAAAUUCAACUUUCAUAAGCGACGUAUUAAUUAAUUAUAAGGACAUCAAGGGCUAUUCCUGCGUGGAUUUAUUAAACGGAGGAAUGAGAGAUAGUGGGGUAUAUUAUCUACAAAUACGCGGUACGACGUAUUGGUUCCUCAAGGUCUACUGCGAACAAGAAAUCGCCGAUGGUGGUUGGACAGUUAUUCAAAGGAGAGAUGAUUUCGGAGAGCCAAGGGAGAACUUUAAUAGAGAUUGGGCAGAUUAUAAAAACGGAUUUGGAGAUCCCGCCAAGGAAUUUUGGCUGGGCAAUGAAAAUAUAUAUAUGUUAACAAAUAAUGAAGAUUACAUGCUCAGAGUCGAACUUGAGGACUUCGAAGGUACGCGCAAUAUUCACAUUUUAAGAUUUACUCCGAGGGAGAGUAUUAUAAAUUGGAGAUAGAUGGUUACGAAGGAAACGCCGGGGAUUCAUUGAAUGAUCCUUGGUACGGAUCGAACAACAGCCCUUUCUCCACGUAUAACAGGGAUAAUGAUAGAUCGUCCUUGAAUUGCGCUUCAAUGCUCAAGGGUGGUUGGUGGUGGAAAUCUUGUGGACGUGGCUUAAAUGGCCUUUAUUUAAAUGAUCCACAAGAUCUUACUGCACGACAAGGUAUUGUAUGGUUCCGAUGGAGAGGUUGGGAUUAUACUUUAAAACGUGCAUUAAUGAUGAUUAAACCAAAAGGACUAGCGACAACAACAACAACAACAACGGUAUAAAAUUGUGUAAAAUUUGGAAUAUUAACUUAAUCGAAAUUUUUCUACGAUCAUUAAGUAACAACCAUGCACAUAGUAUUUAAAUUAUGUAUUGUAAAUGCAUGAACACGCUAUUAAUAUCGAAUUUCAAAGCACUUUUUUAAUUGUUUAUUCACUGUAUCUGUAUUUAAUUAAUUUAACAAAAUUGACUCAAAU